AGAUUGAACGCUGGCGGCAUGCCUUACACAUGCAAGUCGAACGGCAGCACGGGAGCAAUCCUGGUGGCGAGUGGCGAACGGGUGAGUAAUAUAUCGGAACGUGCCCAGUCGUGGGGGAUAACGCAGUGAAAGCUGUGCUAAUACCGCAUACGAUCUAUGGAUGAAAGCGGGGGACUCGCAAGAGCCUCGCGCGAUUGGAGCGGCCGAUAUCAGAUUAGCUAGUUGGUGGGUAAAAGCCCACAAGGCGACGAUCUGUAGCUGGUCUGAGAGGACGACCAGCCACACUAGAACUGAGACACGGUCCAGACUCCUACGGGAGGCAGCAGUGGGAAUUUUGGACAAGUGGGCGCGAAGCCUAGGAUCCAGCAAUGCCGCGUGCGAGGAUGAAGGCCUUCGGUUGUAAAC
Molecule: ribosomal RNA, 405 nt
Filed under: uncultured soil bacterium
Lineage: Bacteria
Description: bacterial SSU rRNA
Rfam family: Bacterial small subunit ribosomal RNA
Source: RNAcentral